CAAACGGCCCUUUUCAGGGCCACCACAAAGUACCAAAGUUCACCA
Molecule: non-coding RNA, 45 nt
Organism: Cyphomyrmex costatus
Lineage: Eukaryota; Metazoa; Arthropoda; Insecta; Hymenoptera; Formicidae
Source: Rfam